UGUAGUGUGCAUCUUAAUUUCUGAUUAGAACAAAUCUGAUCAUCUGAGUUUCUGGUGGAGGUCUUCAGUUAAUGCUGUUAUGUACAUUUGUGUCAUUAAUCAUGGGCAGGUCAUAUUUCACCCCAAAACCAAGAAACUGUGUAAAGAUGUAAUUUAAGAAUUAUUUCUGUUGUUGUUGUAGUUCAUUAGUCAAUCCCUCCUAUAUUUCAGAAACCACAGCAAACAUAUACAGAGAAUAUUCGUUCAAUCGUAAUAACAUUUGUAAAGUAUAAUGUUAGCAUUUGUUGUGCUUUCAGUUUAAUUCUGAUUUUAUUUUAAAUGUUGUAGUAUUGUGUCUAACAGGAGGAUCUUCAUUACUGCAUCACAGCACAGCUUCAGAGCUGAUUGUGGUUCCUCUGGAAGCUCACAGGAUCAGAGAGCUCGGUCUUGUUUGUUCAAAGUCACAGAAACCCGAUCUUCAGGCGAGCAGAUAUUAAUAGUGUGUGUGGGAUCUCCUGAGAGCCUGUGUUUGGCGUGUAAUCGAACCCUUGGCUCUGGGGUCAGUCGUCCACCGCAGGAACUGCUCAAUCUCAGAUCACAGGAGCACAUUCUCAGCAGAGACUCUGAUCAGUUCUCAGAAGGAUGGAGAUCUGGACUGAUGUUGGAUGGAAAGCACAUCUUGUAUCUUUGUAAUGUGUUUUCAGCUGGAAGGUUGGGAUGUUCUUCAUGUGCUGUAAAAAAGAUUCUAAAAUAAAGUAAAAUAAUUAUUUUAGAGUACAUAUUGCAAUAAAAAAACAAAACAAAUCCA
Cyprinus carpio (common carp) is the source of this 787-nucleotide long non-coding RNA. The record is from Ensembl. NCBI's taxonomy places the organism in Eukaryota, Metazoa, Chordata, Actinopteri, Cypriniformes, Cyprinidae.